AGUGGGGAAUAUUGGACAAUGGGCGAAAGCCUGAUCCAGCAAUGCCGCGUGAGUGAUGAAGGCCUUAGGGUUGUAAAGCUCUUUUACCCGGGAUGAUAAUGACCGUACCGGGAGAAUAAGCUCCGGCUAACUCCGUGCCAGCAGCCGCGGUAAUACGGAGGGAGCUAGCGUUGUUCGGAAUUACUGGGCGUAAAGCGCACGUAGGCGGCUUUGUAAGUCAGAGGUGAAAGCCUGGAGCUCAACUCCAGAAUUGCCUUUAAGACUGCAUCGCUUGAAUCCGGGAGAGGUGAGUGGAAUUCCGAGUGUAGAGGUGAAAUUCGUAGAUAUUCGGAAGAACACCAGUGGCGAAGGCGGCUCACUGGACCGGUAUUGACGCUGAGGUGCGAAAGCGUGGGGAGCAAA
RNAcentral lists this ribosomal RNA (402 nucleotides) under uncultured Sphingomonas sp. Its description in RNAcentral is "bacterial SSU rRNA". It matches the Rfam family "Bacterial small subunit ribosomal RNA", at positions 353 to 772 of the family's 1533-position model. The record is from RNAcentral. Lineage: Bacteria; Pseudomonadati; Pseudomonadota; Alphaproteobacteria; Sphingomonadales; Sphingomonadaceae.